RNAcentral lists this small RNA (492 nucleotides) under Pan troglodytes (chimpanzee). Its description in RNAcentral is "retained intron". The record is from RNAcentral. Lineage: Eukaryota; Metazoa; Chordata; Mammalia; Primates; Hominidae.
UCCUGGUGGAACUGGUGGGAAGAGUGGAGCUCGGAGGUUCCAGGGCAGCACCCUUCCUGCUGAAGCAGCCAACAGACACCGGCCAGGUGCCCUCACCACCAAUGGCAUCAACCCUGACACCAGUACUGAGAUCGGACGUGCUAAGAACUGCCUUAGCCCUGAAGACAUAAUUGACAAGUAUAAAGAGGCGAUUUCCUAUUACAGCAAGGUGAUUUUAUGGCUUUGUGAUUUUUUUACACAGUUGUGUUGUUUUAAUCAGAAGUUUCCAUUUUACAUUGUGUAAUGCUGCAGUGUCUCUUAAUUAUUUAUUUCUGUAAGUAUUCAUGUCUUGCUCUCUAAUGCAUAGUACUAUAUGCCUAAAAUGUUUUCUUUUUCUGAUUCAAAACAGUGUAGGUUUAGUAUAAUAAAUUUGGAAAAGGGAGAAAAAAGGCUCUCAUGGCCCGCGUACUCACAGAUAAUGAUUGUUAAUAUUUUAUAUCUAUUUUCUGGUUC